GUUCUAAGUAGCUGGUUCAGCUCAAGACAUCAGAUCUGCACUUUGAAACAAGAAUAAAUUUCAUGGUGGAAGUGAAAAGAAAAGACAAGGCAAGACAAGGUAAGAUGUCAGAUCUGUACUAUAACCAGUAAAAAGAAGGAACAGGCUGAAAGAAAAGAGAGAAAGCAUAUCUCUCACUCAACUCAAGAAAUUGAGUUUGAAUAGACAACACAUUUUUCACUUGGUCCCCAGGGUAGGGCUUACAAAGCAGCAUUCUGGGAGAUGGGGAAACACGAAUGAACAAGAUCAUAAUAUCUGCCCUUACAAAACUGAUGUUCAGUAAAUACUACAGCACUAGACUAUCCCUGAUUGACUGAAUCCACGGCUGCAGUUGCACAGAUACAGAGGAAACAGCUGUGCCCCGCCCUCUUCUCUCCUGCCUCAGUGCCAUGGGAAGGCUGGCACUUCCCCAGUCAUGGAGCUUAGAAGGCCCCCCAGACCAAUGACCAGGGUCCCUCCCUAGGAGUCAGAUACCCAGACUUUGGUGUGCUAUCAUAGCAUGCGAAGAGCCACAGAAGCCUGCAUACCUGCAGCUGCUCUCAUUUGGUAAGUUUUCUCCACUGAUGCUGCUCCUGAAGGCUGAUGUGUUUGCUUCAUGAAAAGUCACCUUUCCUUGAUCCAUCAUAUUCUUUUCCACAAGGAAUUCUUCCACCUCUCGGCUUUCUUCUACUUGUGCUGCGUUCCAGGGCAGAGUAUGAGUUAUUAAAUCUUGUGUCCCCACUCCCUAGCAUGAUGGCUGCUGUGGUGGUAGUUUUGCUCUACCAAACUCAAUAAGCAGCCAUCAGGAAGUCGUGGGCCUUUUUAGAGUAGGCGCGUGAGAAAUGUCAUCUGAGCGGUGCUUCUAGAGAUUCAUUUUCCUACAGAAAUCUCUCUCUCGUUUACUUCCCAACUCUGUGAAGAAUGCAAUAAUUGACUCUGUCAUCCAAGCUCAAUGCCUGGGAGUAAACUUCUGAAUCUUCUCUCCAUCAGUUUCCAUGUGGGUGACAGUGGGAUUACGGCAGACAAUGCUGGCUAUACAUUUUGACUGCUCUACUUUGGCAUCUCCUACUCGAUAUCUUAAAAACUGUGAGCAGAAACCAAACUACCAAGCAGCUACCCAACUGGAGCUUUGUACCUUCUGUUGUUAUUACACCUUUUUUUCUUUCUUUCUUUUUUUUUUUGUAAAUGUCUUGUCUCCUCAUCUAAAUUAAAAGCUCUUAAGGGCAGUGACCUUAUUUUCCUACAGUAACUAGAACUGUUUUGUGCCUAAUUUCUACUUAAGAAAUAUCGAUUGAUCUUCAUAAGAUGAUGGUAGGUCAGGCAACCUUCAGUUACACAAGAAGAUAAAAACAUGAGGGGGAGAGAAGCAUCACAGGGCAGGAAGGAGUGUAAAGAAUUUG
Vicugna pacos (alpaca) is the source of this 1418-nucleotide non-coding RNA. The record is from RefSeq and is a predicted model, not a curated record. NCBI's taxonomy places the organism in Eukaryota, Metazoa, Chordata, Mammalia, Artiodactyla, Camelidae.